Molecule: microRNA precursor, 61 nt
Filed under: Monopterus albus (swamp eel)
Lineage: Eukaryota; Metazoa; Chordata; Actinopteri; Synbranchiformes; Synbranchidae
Description: Mal-Mir-726_pre stem-loop
Source: RNAcentral
GGAAUUCCGCUAGUUCUGAACUAUUCAUGUUUGGUAAAAGCUCACUACUAGCAGAACUCAG